Leptopilina boulardi is the source of this 1540-nucleotide long non-coding RNA. RefSeq lists it as uncharacterized. The transcript is spliced from 4 exons. The record is from RefSeq and is a predicted model, not a curated record. Lineage: Eukaryota; Metazoa; Arthropoda; Insecta; Hymenoptera; Figitidae.
UAUAGUCUUGGAAGUGAAUAGAACGUGCGAAUGAAAUCAAAUCUUAUUCACCAAGUGGGGAAAUAUAUUGCCUACUUUAGACAGUUUAGUGCGCUCGAGUUUGCAAAGAGAGAAGGAAAAAAAAGAUUUGCCAACUACCAAAUAAGAAGUCAAUCAAAAAGGAAGUGGCAAUAUUUAAAUACCGGUUCUUAGUUUCUACGAGAAGAUGUUGCUUCAUGAGUUGGAAACAAUGUGUGCUGAGGAGAAAAUAUCAACAUUGUAGUGCCUAUCAAAAAGAUUUAGUCAGUAGACGAACAGUUAUUAGAUAUCCUUGGGAUAUAUCGAACAAAUUUAUGGAUAACCCACAGAUAUUAAAGGGAGAAUUCAGAUAUUCCUGGGAUGUCAAAGGCACCAAAAAACUUUUUUGGUGUCUUUACCACAAUUUUUUUCAAAAUUCUUCAAAAAUCUUGUGCUGUACGGAGAGAGAAUGAACGUUUUUCAUCUGCAUAAAGUGCAAACUAUUACGCAUAAAUUAACCAAGAGACAGUGCUAAUUGCAUUGGUAAAAUAAAGACAUUCGUAUACCCGGAGAAAAUAGAAAUAGAGAAAAGUUGUUCUUCUGAGUCUGUGUGUGAACGUCUAUAAUAACCGCAAGUUUAAUGCAGUCUGCAAAAACAUUAUGUAAACACUUCAAUCGAAAGAGCUGUCUUCAGGAUGAUCAAAUUAGACAGAUGCAAAUUUACUAGUUAGAAUCUUACGUGGAAACAAGAUUUUUCAUUAUCUGUACAACUUGAAGACGUGUCAAAUUACGUUGCAAUAAAGAAAUAUACGACUUUCAAUCGCAAAUAUUGACUGGCUUUCUGAUCUAAUCAAGAAAAGUGGUGAAAAUAAACUUUCAUCCUCUCGCGCAUGAUUAGCAUUUUUUAAUGUUUAUUUCAAUGUUUAACAAUUCAUUUUUUUAAAUUUAAUAACAAAAUUUUGUUAAAAUUAAAUGUUUUCUAUACGAAAAUAUCAAAUGUAUUGUGAUUUGUACAAAUUAGAUAAAGACAUUUUUUCAUAAACAUUUUACAUUGAUUCGCUCACUUUAAAUAAAAAUUUGCAUAAAAUUGUUCUCUUUUAUAAAUAAUUCAUAUUGAUUCGAUGAGCUUCUUGUUUACAUUCAUAUUAAAUUUUGAAACAUAUGUUAUGGACUUAAUUAAUAGUAAACGUUAUAAAAUGUUUAAUGAACAAUUAAAAGAUUGGUUUAUUUAUUGCAAUAAGUUUUCUCGUAAGUCGUGGUAUUUUAAACGGGCCUUGAUCUCAACAUUCUAACGUGCAUAAUAAAGUUCUUUCAACAGAUUCGCAUACACUAUGUAAUAUUAUAGCUUUUUCAACCUUUAUUUUCUGCUAUUUCUGAAAAGAAGAGAAAAAUAGUUGUUCCAGUACAAGCAAGUAAUGAAAAUAUUUUCAAAUAAAAAGGUAUUUGGCUUUACUGUAUGAAAUCAAUAAAAUAUACUAAAGAAGAAGAGUUUCAGGCUUUAGUUAAUAUUUAUUCUCUAUACAUGUUUAUAUGUGUGCGUAGA